RNAcentral lists this ribosomal RNA (480 nucleotides) under uncultured Paracoccaceae bacterium. Its description in RNAcentral is "bacterial SSU rRNA". It matches the Rfam family "Bacterial small subunit ribosomal RNA", at positions 49 to 572 of the family's 1533-position model. Lineage: Bacteria; Pseudomonadati; Pseudomonadota; Alphaproteobacteria; Rhodobacterales; Paracoccaceae. The record is from RNAcentral.
UAACACAUGCAAGUCGAGCCGAAGUACUUACGGUCUUAGCGGCGGACGGGUGAGUAACGCGUGGGAACGUACCUUUCUCUACGGAAUAGUCCCGGGAAACUGGGUUUAAUACCGUAUACGCCCUUCGGGGGAAAGAUUUAUUGGAGAGAGAUCGGCCCGCGUUGGAUUAGGUAGUUGGUGGGGUAAUGGCCUACCAAGCCUACGAUCCAUAGCUGGUUUGAGAGGAUGAUCAGCCACACUGGGACUGAGACACGGCCCAGACUCCUACGGGAGGCAGCAGUGGGGAAUCUUAGACAAUGGGGGAAACCCUGAUCUAGCCAUGCCGCGUGAGUGAUGAAGGCCUUAGGGUCGUAAAGCUCUUUCGCCAGGGAUGAUAAUGACAGUACCUGGUAAAGAAACCCCGGCUAACUCCGUGCCAGCAGCCGCGGUAAUACGGAGGGGGUUAGCGUUGUUCGGAAUUACUGGGCGUAAAGCGCGCGU